RNAcentral lists this unclassified non-coding RNA (1348 nucleotides) under Hevea brasiliensis (rubber tree). Lineage: Eukaryota; Viridiplantae; Streptophyta; Magnoliopsida; Malpighiales; Euphorbiaceae. The record is from RNAcentral.
CUUAAUAAUGUUAUAGAUAAAGUUAUGACUCUAACUCGAAGAAGGGAAAAAUAUCUUGUUGUUGCUGCUGUUCGAUUUGUUCGCAAUAUUCUUUCUCGCCAUGAUGAGCAUCUGAUAAAUCAUUUUGUCAAGCGCAACGUUCUCAAACCGAUUAUAGAUGCCUUUGUUGGCAAUGGCCACCGUUACAAUCUGCUGCACUCUGCUGUUUUAGAGCUUUUUGAGUAUAUCCGCAAGGAAAACCUGAAAUUAUUGAUCAAGUAUAUAGUUGGUUCAUUUUGGAAUGAGUUGGUCAAAUUUGAGCAUUUGGCUUCCAUUCAGUCUUUUAAAGUUAAAUAUGAGCAGUGCCUAGAGAGUUGUGCAAUAAAAAAUACUGGCAGCACACUGGAUCCACGAAAACGAAAUGAUGAGCGUGCUCUAGAAAAAGAGGAGGAGGAAUACUUCAACGAGAACAGUGAUGAAGAAGAUACAGCAUCCGCAUCACAUGCCAAAAGAGUUCAGCCUCAGUCUGUGCUAUCCAAUGGAGUAUCAGCAGGCUAUCCAUCACUAAGUUCAAGAUCCGGCGGACUGGUUGAUUAUGAUGAUGACGAGGAUGAUGAAGACUAUAGACUACCACCUAAGAAACAGGUGGAAACCUUAGAAGAUGAAGAAGCUAUGGAGCCCCUUAAGUUGAAGCGCAAAUUGACUUCUAGGGAAAAGGAAGCUGAACCAGCAAAGAAGGAGCGAUUAGAUAAACCCUCAAAAUCAAGGGAGAGUGUAUUUGCAUCUUUGUGUCCUACACUGAGCCAGGCAGUGAUACCCGGUAAGAAAGCUGCAAGCUCGGUGCAUAAAACACCUCGCACAACUGACACAAACAAGGGCUUUGGUGAAGACAAUCAUCAAGAGAAGGAAACUGCUAUUUCUAGAAGCUGUUGUGAUAAUAGCAGCAACCCAGGAGAGGAGAACCAUAAGGAGAAGGGGCCUCCUGCUUCUUCUAGAAACUCUUGUGAUUGCUUGCACAACACAACAGAAAACAGACAGUUGGGUGGAGAGGAUGGCCUUUUAAUACCACAAACCUCAUCGCCGGAGAUGGCUGUAAAUGGAUCGUGAAUGAUCUUUCAGAAUCAUGUUAAAAUGGUUUGACAAUGUUUGCUUGGCUGUUCUAUUUGACUCAUGGACGUCACAAAUCAGUCCUGGGCAGCUGAAAGAACAGCGGUACUAGAAAGAAAUGAAUCAGGGGAUGGUGGGUGAAUGCGGAUUAUAGCUUUCAGUUGAUGGUAGGAGAGGAUACUGUAUAGUACCGCCAAGGGUAAUGAGGAAAUAGUCAUAAUAUGGGCCAGCGUACCCCUUCACUAGGUUUUCUGAUGUUGAG